This 839-nucleotide ribosomal RNA is filed under the name uncultured eukaryote. RNAcentral describes it as "SSU rRNA". It matches the Rfam family "Eukaryotic small subunit ribosomal RNA", at positions 635 to 1426 of the family's 1831-position model. The record is from RNAcentral.
CGGUGUUCAACUGGCGUGCCCGCGGGACGUCCUGCCGGUGAGCUCAUCCCGCGAGGGCGGCUCAACUUGAAAUCCCAUCGCGGUGCUCUUCAUUGAGUGUCGAGGUGGGCCGGCACGAUUACUUUUGAACAAAUUAGAGUGCUUAAAGCAGGCUAAAAUUUUGCCUGAAUACUGUGUAUAUGGAAUAAUGGAAUAGGACCUCGGUUCUAUUUUGUUGGUUUUCGGAACCCCGAGGUAAUGAUUAAUAGGAACGGAUGGGGGCAUUCGUAUUGCGACGUUAGAGGUGAAAUUCUUGGAUCGUCGCAAGACGGACUAAAGCGAAAGCAUUUGCCAAAAACGCUUUCAUUGAUCAAGAACGAAAGUUAGAGGUUCGAAGGCGAUCAGAUACCGCCCUAGUUCUAACCAUAAACUAUGCCAGCUAGCGAUCCGCCGACGUCCCUCUGAUGACUCGGCGGGCAGCUUCCGGGAAACCAAAGCUUUUGGGUUCCGGGGGAAGUAUGGUUGCAAAGCUGAAACUUAAAGGAAUUGACGGAAGGGCACCACCAGGAGUGGAGCCUGCGGCUUAAUUUGACUCAACACGGGAAACCUCACCAGGCCCAGACACUGGAAGGAUUGACAGAUUGAGAGCUCUUUCUUGAUUCAGUGGGUGGUGGUGCAUGGCCGUUCUUAGUCGGUGGAGCGAUUUGUCAGGUUAAUUCCGAUAACGGACGAGACUCUGACCUGAUAACUAGACGCACUUGCGGCAUCUCAAAGGUCCGCCGGCGGCUGGCUUUGCGCCCGUCGUCGCGCGCGAUUUUUACUGCCGGCGUACAAUAAAUUCUUCUUAGAGGGACAAGUGG